GUGCACUGUUAUCUCGACCAUUAACUGCUACGGGGCACUCUGAGAUCUCUGACUCAUGUGUAUAAUACAUUCCUGCCACUUUCAUCUCCAUCCAGUCUACUCUUAUGGGAAAAGGCGUUGUUUAUCUUUUAAAAUGUUGUCUAAACUACACCUUUAAUCUGCAAAACUUGUAUCUGCACUCUUAGAAAUGAUAAAAAAAUGGUUUCUAAAGGACGAAAUGAAAUGAAUGCAUGUUUAAACUUACAGCUCGUUUGUGUUUUUCAAAAAUGCUGGAACAACAACAUGGACAACCAAACGUCAUUUGGGAAGCAGAUCUGAAUGAAGCCUGGAAGCAGAUCGCAUUUGGAUUGGGUUUUGUUCGGGCUGAGGAAUGUUACUUCUGCUCCAAGAAAAGCUGUAGGAGUACAUCCUACUUGACAAAAUCAUGUUCACGAUCUGAUUUACUGGUUGCCGGAACCUCUUUCAUUUCAUAUUUACCGUGAAUGAAUUCAUAAAAGUCACGAGUGUGAGUUGUUGAUGACAAAAUGUUACUUUUUGGGUGAGCUAUAAAAUAAUUAUUUUAGCUCUGAUAUAUUAUUGUUUUGAGUUAUUGUUGAUAUUUAAAUUAUUAAGCUUUAAAAAUAAAAGUAUUGUGUUUAUUUGCAUGUUAGUUUAUAUUACAGUGACUUUAAAAUUGACAUUGACUACUGAAAUGUUAGUUUCCAGAGGGUUUGACACACAUCAGUCUUCCACAGGUGUCAUUAAUGCUGACAGGCAAUAUAGAGGCUGUUUUUCCUGAUUCAGCUGAUUCUUGGUCAGUCGAGUUUGCUUUUUUAAAAUGGAAUACAAAGAGCAACUUCUUGUAAGUACACUUGUGUUUUCUUCCCCAUUCACAGAAUAUAUAUAUAUAUAUAUA
Molecule: long non-coding RNA, 895 nt
Organism: Cyprinus carpio carpio
Lineage: Eukaryota; Metazoa; Chordata; Actinopteri; Cypriniformes; Cyprinidae
Source: Ensembl